Molecule: long non-coding RNA, 453 nt
Filed under: Salvia miltiorrhiza (redroot sage)
Lineage: Eukaryota; Viridiplantae; Streptophyta; Magnoliopsida; Lamiales; Lamiaceae
Description: long non-coding RNA (SMIL_LNC006154)
Source: RNAcentral
UGAGUGGCCGCGUACAGCAUUUGAUAUUUGGAAAAUGCCUCAACUUAGGCAUGUCCACUUUGAUCAGAGUAACAGAUUUCACCUCACACAUCCUCUGAGUCUGAGCAGCAACAUUGACAUUGUCGUCAUGGAAAACCUGCAAACACUUGUCGGAGUAACAAAUUUCAAGUGUAGUGAGGCGGUAGUUAAGAGAAUUCCUAACAUAAAGAAAUUGGGAAUAGUAUAUCACAAGUUUAAGGGAGUUUGGCCGGGUGGUGAUUAUUAUUGUCUCAAAUAUCUUGAAUGUUUUGGUAAACUCGAAUCCUUACACUGCAAGGUCGAUUGCACGAUCCCUGAUCAUGAGAAGAACCUCGCCUCCCCACGCUCCUUGUUGAAGUGUAGAUGCAAUGACCAUUUGCAAGAGAUUACAUUCCCACACUCCCUCAAGAAGUUGAGUCUCAGGGUGAGCAAAAG